UUUGUUCUCUCCAUUCCCUCUUUGACCAAGGUCAUACAUAAGCACGAUAACAGGCUCUUGGAAAACUAGAUCAGUUUUCCAAGAGCCUGUUAUCGUGCUUAUGUACUAACACCAUCCUAGACCCUAUGGUCAAUAGAAA
MicroRNA precursor from Equus caballus (horse), 139 nucleotides. The record is from Ensembl. NCBI's taxonomy places the organism in Eukaryota, Metazoa, Chordata, Mammalia, Perissodactyla, Equidae.